UGGGGGAAUAUUGCACAAUGGGCGCAAGCCUGAUGCAGCAACGCCGCGUGAGGGAUGACGGCCUUCGGGUUGUAAACCUCUUUUUAGUAGGGGAAGAAGCGAAAGUGACGGUACCUGCAGAAAAAGCACCGGCUAACUACGUGCCAGCAGCCGCGGUAAUACGUAGGGUGCGAGCGUUGUCCGGAAUUAUUGGGCGUAAAGAGCUCGUAGGCGGUCUGUCGCGUCUGCUGUGAAAACCCGAGGCUCAACCUCGGGCCUGCAGUGGGUACGGGCAGACUAGAGUGCGGUAGGGGAGAAUGGAAUUCCUGGUGUAGCGGUGGAAUGCGCAGAUAUCAGGAGGAACACCGAUGGCGAAGGCAGUUCUCUGGGCCGUAACUGACGCUGAGGAGCGAAAGCGUGGGGAGCGAACAGGAUUAGAUACCCU
RNAcentral lists this ribosomal RNA (424 nucleotides) under uncultured bacterium. Its description in RNAcentral is "partial 16S ribosomal RNA". It matches the Rfam family "Bacterial small subunit ribosomal RNA", at positions 354 to 788 of the family's 1533-position model. The record is from RNAcentral.